AGUCGACUGGAAUUCACCUUCAGGUGAUAGUACGGUGGCGGACGGGUGAGUAACGCGUAAAGAACUUGCCCUCUAGACUGGGACAACUGUUGGAAACGACAGCUAAUACCGGAUAUUAUGAGAUUCUCGCAUGGGAAACUUAUGAAAGGCUAUAUGCGCUAGAGGAGAGCUUUGCGUGCCAUUAGGUAGUUGGUAGGGUAAUGGCCUACCAAGCCGACGAUGGCUAGCCGGCCUGAGAGGGUGAUCGGCCACAGGGGACUGAGACACGCCCUUACUCCUACGGAGCAGCAGUGGGGAAUAUUGGACAAUGGACCAAAAGUCUGAUCCGCAAUUCUGUGUGCACGAUGAAGUUUCGAUCGUAAAGUGCUUUCGGGGAAGAAAAAAAUGACGUACCCCAGAAGAAGCGACGUAAAUAC
This 416-nucleotide ribosomal RNA is filed under the name uncultured Fusobacteriaceae bacterium. RNAcentral's name for it is "bacterial SSU rRNA". It matches the Rfam family "Bacterial small subunit ribosomal RNA", at positions 60 to 504 of the family's 1533-position model. The record is from RNAcentral. Lineage: Bacteria; Fusobacteriati; Fusobacteriota; Fusobacteriia; Fusobacteriales; Fusobacteriaceae.